This 496-nucleotide ribosomal RNA is filed under the name uncultured bacterium. RNAcentral describes it as "partial 16S ribosomal RNA". It matches the Rfam family "Bacterial small subunit ribosomal RNA", at positions 28 to 506 of the family's 1533-position model. The record is from RNAcentral.
GAUGAACGCUGGCGGCGUGCCUAAUACAUGCAAGUCGAGCGAACAGAUAAGGAGCUUGCUCCUUUGACGUUAGCGGCGGACGGGUGAGUAACACGUGGGUAACCUACCUAUAAGACUGGGAUAACUUCGGGAAACCGGAGCUAAUACCGGAUAACAUUUGGAACCGCAUGGUUCUAAGGUGAAAGAUGGUUUUGCUAUCACUUAUAGAUGGACCCGCGCCGUAUUAGCUAGUUGGUAAGGUAACGGCUUACCAAGGCAACGAUACGUAGCCGACCUGAGAGGGUGAUCGGCCACACUGGAACUGAGACACGGUCCAGACUCCUACGGGAGGCAGCAGUAGGGAAUCUUCCGCAAUGGGCGAAAGCCUGACGGAGCAACGCCGCGUGAGUGAUGAAGGGUUUCGGCUCGUAAAACUCUGUUAUUAGGGAAGAACAAACGUGUAAGUAACUGUGCACGUCUUGACGGUACCUAAUCAGAAAGCCACGGCUAACUACGU